Long non-coding RNA from Coturnix japonica (Japanese quail), 1292 nucleotides. NCBI's taxonomy places the organism in Eukaryota, Metazoa, Chordata, Aves, Galliformes, Phasianidae. The record is from Ensembl.
GGGGUCUUAAUGGGGAUUUUGGGGUCUUAAUGGGGUUUUGGGGGUCUCUAUGGAGUAUUAUGGGGUCUCUAUGGGUUUAUGGGGGUCUCUAUGGGGUUUUUGGGGUCUCUAUGGGGUUCUGGGAGGGUCCUAAAGGCUUCUGGGGGUCUCGAAGUGCUCCCAAGAUGGCUCCGAAGCUUCGGAACUCUUCGGCAAGUUCCGCCGCUGAGUACGGCUACAUCCGGCAGCACUCGGCUACUUCCGGCAGCACUCGGCUACUUCCGGCAGCGCUCGGCUACUUUCGGCAGCGCUCGGCUACUUCCGGCAGCGCUCGUAACUGCCGCAGAGCUCGAGCACUUCCGGUAAUGCUCGGCUAUUUCCGGCAGUGCUCGGGUAUUUCCGGCAGCGCUCGGCUAUUUCCGGCAGCGCUCGGGUAUUUCCGGCCGUUCCUCACAGUAUUAAGAUUUGGGGUCGGUAAAAUAGCGAUUUUUAACCUUUUUCGAUCGGGAUUUGAGCCGAAAAAAGUGAAUUUGAAGGCAGAAAUGCGGCUGUGAGGCCUCAACGAGAGAAUUUGAGUGGAAAAAAUGAGGUUUUUGGGCCAAAAAUGUGAAGAUUUGGGUAUGAUGUGCAGCAAGCUGUGAAAAUUAAAGAGUUUGGACCCAAAAAGGAGAUUUUUAACCUCAAAAUGGGGCACUGUGCCCUAAAAUGGGGGUGGAACCUACAAUGAAAACCUACAAACCCCAUUUAUACCCAGAAACCCCAAAAACACCCCAAUUCUGCCAUAAAUGGGCUCCAUUUAUUGCCUUUGGGACUCGAGAUCCUUUGAGAGGUUCUAGGUCAUCCAACGGUGUUUUGGGGCAAAAAAGAGGGAUUUAGGUUCAAAAGUGACACUUUGGACCCCAAAAUGAAGACCCACAACCCCCAUAACCCCAAAAACACCCCAAUUUGUGCCAUAAAUGGGCUCCACUUAUUGCCUUUGGGACUCGAGAGCCUUUGAGAGGUUCUAGGUCAUCCAACGCUGUUUUGGGCCAAAAAAAGAGGGAUUUGGGUUCAAAAGUGACACUUUGGACCCCAAAAUGAAGACCCACAACCCCAAAAACCCCAAAACCACCCCAAUUUGUGCCAUAAAUGGGCUCCAUUUAUUGCCUUUGGGACUCAAAAGCCUUUGAGAGGUUCUAGGUCCUCCAACGGUGUUUUGGGGCAAAAAAGAGGGAUUUAGGUUCAAAAGUGACACUUUGGAUCCCAAAAUGAAGACCCACAACCCCAAAAACCCCAAAACCACCCCAAUUUGUGCCAUAAAUGGGCUCCAUUUA